GAUCCUGGCUCAGAUUGAACGCUGGCGGCAUGCUUUACACAUGCAAGUCGAACGGCAGCACGGAGAGCUUGCUCUCUGGUGGCGAGUGGCGCACGGGUGAGUAAUACAUCGGAACAUACCUUGAAGUGGGGGGACAACAGUUGGAAACGACUGCUAAUACCGCAUAAUCCUGAAGGGGAAAGAUUUAUCGCUUUAAGAUUAGGCCCGCGGAAGAUUGGGUAGUUGGUGGGGUAAAGGCCUACCAAGCCG
This 249-nucleotide ribosomal RNA is filed under the name uncultured bacterium. RNAcentral's name for it is "partial 16S ribosomal RNA". It matches the Rfam family "Bacterial small subunit ribosomal RNA", at positions 15 to 275 of the family's 1533-position model. The record is from RNAcentral.